UUUUUUUAUUCGACAAACAUUAGCACUACGUCCUUUUAAACCAGUGAACGGUAACAGAUGUACUAACAGGAUAUCAUAAAUCUUGUAUCAAUGAAACUGUUAACCAAUAAUAACCUUCCAAUAAUUAUUCAGAGGUAUCCGUUUGUGCCAAUAAUGCGUCCUUUUGCGCCAGAACUCAUUUGCGAAAAUCGUUAGUUGCGCCACUAGUUUUCAAAAAUAAUUAGUAUCUACUGCGACGAAAAUAAAGUAAAUGUUCGAUUGCCUUAUUCUUAGAUUCCUUCCUUUUAUAAUAAACUCCCUCAUCAAUUCUUUCCCCUUGCUAAUGCCAUUUUGACAUCAAUUGUAAAGUGCAGGGGGGUCUCAACACAUAGGGCGGGGGUCUCAACAUAUAAAUUUGGGGAUUGACGUCACUCUGCCAACCUUCCACUCAUAUGUUUUUAAGGAAAAUCACUACCGGCAUAAACAUAUUUCAAAGGCAAAUCAUAAUCCUUUCAUAUAUUUUCCAGCUCUCAGCGAGACAUGCAUGACAUAUCUGAAUGAGAUCGUAACCGUAU
Molecule: long non-coding RNA, 554 nt
Filed under: Mytilus galloprovincialis (Mediterranean mussel)
Lineage: Eukaryota; Metazoa; Mollusca; Bivalvia; Mytilida; Mytilidae
Source: RNAcentral